UGGGGAAUAUUGGACAAUGGGCGCAAGCCUGAUCCAGCAAUACCGCGUGUGUGAAGAAGGCCUGCGGGUUGUAAAGCACUAUCAGUAGUGAGGAAGGUACGCAUGUUAAUAGUAUGCGUAAUUGACGUUAGCUACAGAAGAAGCACCGGCUAACUCUGUGCCAGCAGCCGCGGUAAUACAGAGGGUGCAAGCGUUAAUCGGAAUUACUGGGCGUAAAGCGCACGUAGGUGGUUUUUUAAGUUAAUUGUGAAAUACCUGGGCUCAACCUGGGAAUUGCAGUUAAUACUGGAAGGCUAGAGUAUGGUAGAGGGAAGUGGAAUUUCCGGUGUAGCGGUGAAAUGCGUAGAUAUCGGAAGGAACACCAGUGGCGAAGGCGACUUCCUGGACUAAUACUGACACU
Molecule: ribosomal RNA, 400 nt
Filed under: uncultured bacterium
Lineage: Bacteria
Description: bacterial SSU rRNA
Rfam family: Bacterial small subunit ribosomal RNA
Source: RNAcentral